AACGAACGCUGGCGGCAUGCCUAACACAUGCAAGUCGAACGAGACCUUCGGGCCUAGUGGCGCACGGGUGCGUAACGCGUGGGAAUCUGCCCUUGGGUUCGGAAUAACAGUUGGAAACGACUGCUAAUACCGGAUGAUGACGUAAGUCCAAAGAUUUAUCGCUCCAGGAUGAGCCCGCGUAGGAUUAGCGAGUUGGUGAGGUAAAGGCUCACCAAGGCGACGAUCCUUAGCUGGUCUGAGAGGAUGCUCAACCACACUGGGACUGAGACACGGCCCAGACUCGUACGGGAGGCAGCAGUAGGGAAUAUUAGACGAUGGACGAAAGCGUGACCCAGCAAUGCCGCGUGAGUGAUGAAGGCCUUAGGGUUGUAAAGCUCUUUUACCCGAAAUGAUAAUGACAGUACCGGGAGAAGAAGCACCGGCUAACUACGUG
RNAcentral lists this ribosomal RNA (433 nucleotides) under uncultured bacterium. RNAcentral describes it as "partial 16S ribosomal RNA". It matches the Rfam family "Bacterial small subunit ribosomal RNA", at positions 29 to 507 of the family's 1533-position model. The record is from RNAcentral.